GUUCUUUUCUCGCAUGAGAGAAGAUGGAAAGACGGUUUACGCUGUCACUUAUAGAUGGGCCCGCGGCGCAUUAGCUAGUUGGUGAGGUAAUGGCUCACCAAGGCGACGAUGCGUAGCCGACCUGAGAGGGUGAUCGGCCACACUGGGACUGAGACACGGCCCAGACUCCUACGGGAGGCAGCAGUAGGGAAUCUUCCGCAAUGGACGAAAGUCUGACGGAGCAACGCCGCGUGAACGAAGAAGGCCUUCGGGUCGUAAAGUUCUGUUGUUAGGGAAGAACAAGUACCAGAGUAACUGCUGGUACCUUGACGGUACCUAACCAGAAAGCCACGGCUAACUACGUGCCAGCAGCCGCGGUAAUACGUAGGUGGCAAGCGUUGUCCGGAAUUAUUGGGCGUAAAGCGCGCGCAGGUGGUUCCUUAAGUCUGAUGUGAAAGCCCACGGCUCAACCGUGGAGGGUCAUUGGAAACUGGGGAACUUGAGUGCAGAAGAGGAAAGUGAUUCCAGUGUAGCGGUGAAAUGCGUAGAGAUUUGAGACACAGUGGCGAUGCGACUUUCUGGUCUGUACUGACACU
RNAcentral lists this ribosomal RNA (575 nucleotides) under Peribacillus simplex. Its description in RNAcentral is "bacterial SSU rRNA". It matches the Rfam family "Bacterial small subunit ribosomal RNA", at positions 173 to 747 of the family's 1533-position model. The record is from RNAcentral. Lineage: Bacteria; Bacillati; Bacillota; Bacilli; Caryophanales; Bacillaceae.